Molecule: long non-coding RNA, 1369 nt
Organism: Hylaeus volcanicus
Lineage: Eukaryota; Metazoa; Arthropoda; Insecta; Hymenoptera; Colletidae
Exons: 3
Source: RefSeq, a predicted model, not a curated record
UGUAUUCGGCCAGUGUUGCCGCGCUCUGCAUAUCGGUUACUUCAAUUAGACCCGCGAGCCUCCAUGAUACUUACCAUUUCUUUCGGGUCAACAGAGAUGUCUCGAGGCAAACAUUGUCGUUAAACAUUCGAGAUGAUGGACGAGAUAUUGCCGUGGGUGAAUACAUUUCAAAUAAUUUGGAAGAUAAGAUUGAACCGAGGUGCUCCUGUCGGACAUAUGAAUUGGUGCUGACGAGGGUAGCUCCCGAAGUCCAGGGUUCACCUUCGAAGCUGCAACCCCAAACGAAGUAGAUAGUCCCAAACGUCUCGUAACUCUCCUGCGUCAUCCUUCGUGUCUCCGCGCGGAUUUCAAAUUCUUGGCACGUCGAUAUAUCAAGCAACGAGGUGUUAAGCAAUGUUCGACCAAGGAUUACCAUCAACCCGAUCAACAGACAUCGGAACGCCUUCGACGAGGAUUCCGUAAUUACUGGUUCCGCAAGUUCGGGUUCGUCUCAUCGCGCGGAACGUCUGCGGGGAUCUCGUCGAGGGGCGGGGGUACGAGAUGCCCGGUGGAGAAAGAAAAAAAAAAGAAAGAAAGAAGAAACGAAGACGAGCGAAAUCGAGCAACCAGGGUUCGGAAACGUCUCAGCGUCUUUCACCGGCGAGCUUUCAUUUCGCAUUUAAUCCUGGAACUACCCUCGUGUAUUCCGCCAGCGAACGGAGCGCAAAAUACGCGAAAGACCAAAGACAACGCCCUUAGGUACUUAUAUACGAUGUUGGUGGUAAAGAUGAGACGUAAGAAGCGAGGGGGUUGUGAGUGCUCGAAGGUGGAACGGGGAAGGAUGGAGAUGAGGACGGGCGCGGGGGAGGCGGUCGGGGAGGGCCAGCUAGGUAUGUAUAAGCAGAAGAAAGCGCGGGUCGAUUAAAAGUAGCGAGGGUGUUUCUCCUCUCGUUACCGGAGAGCGAGCCAGAAACAGCGGCCGAGGGAUGAAAGAAGGAGAGCGACGAAAAAGGACGAAGCCUUGGUCUGAAAGUCGAACGAAGAUGGAUAGACCGGGAAGAGGUUAGCAUAAAAAGAGAGGGAGAAGUCGGAAGGUGGAAGAAGGUGGGCAGCGGCGUAAGACGAAGAGUUUGGUAGGGAGGGAAGGGGAUGAGAGAGGCGACAUGGGGUUGGAAGAAGAAAAGGGCUACAAAGCAAACGCGAUGAACAGAGAAGGGAGUUGGCAGUUCCGAUCCGGAGGGGUUCGUGGAACGCCGCCUAUGUCGGACCAAGAAGGGAGGAGAAGAGGAGACUCAAGAAUCUCAACCUUUAUUUGGAUUUAAGUAAGGAAAAGGGUUGUAAGAUAUGUCGGAUCUGGUGGAUUCGGGACUGGACCGAGGGAGGGUGGAGU